This is a long non-coding RNA of Populus nigra (black poplar), 1317 nucleotides long. RefSeq lists it as uncharacterized. NCBI's taxonomy places the organism in Eukaryota, Viridiplantae, Streptophyta, Magnoliopsida, Malpighiales, Salicaceae. The record is from RefSeq and is a predicted model, not a curated record. The transcript is spliced from 2 exons.
ACUUUCUAUGAAAUGUCACAUUUCUCACUAGCGACUUCUUAAAUGUUAUGUUUUUAUAUUACAACAUGUACAAAACAGUGCUUUUUUGCCAAAAACUUGUUUCGCUAAUUUGUUCUUAAAUAUACUGUUAUAACCCCAUUUUUAACAACAAUAUCAAGGAAACCAUCACCGACAAUCCAACAAUGGCGGGACUGUGGAGGUUCCAAUCCUGCCAAAACAAAAGGUCUUAAAAUUCUAUCCUUAUCAAGGAAGGAUAAGCAGCGAGAGGGAAUGCCUAUAAAGGGCACGGGAGGGAGUUCACAAGGAGAGGGGGGAAAAAGCAAACAGAUGGCAGAGGGGAGAACAGAUGAGAAAACAAAAGAGAAGAAAGGGAGGAAAACAGAGGAAAAACCAAAGAGUGUGAUAGAGACAGAGAGAAAUAGAAGAACAACAACAGACAGAGAAGCGAGAUAGAAGGAGAGGAGGGUCAUCGCAGGGGCGCCACCCGCCAGUCUCCAUCGCCAUCCGCUUUGCUCCCAGUAGCUGCUCGCUCAGGAUUCGGAGUAGCAUGUAAUUGAGGGCAAACGGCAUCAGCCGAAAGAACGAAGCCCAAAACCUAGCAGCCUAGCGGUAUGCUGGGAUGCCCUCUUCAUCGUGCUACAAAAGGAAGGGACUGAAAACAUGCAAGGUAGCUGUCUAAUUUGCCGUGCGAGUGUGGGACAAUCUUUUUGACAGUAAUUAUCGAAAGCCCCACCAGCAGAGGUUGCGGUCAGGCUUUCUGUCAAGUCGGUGUCCAACGAGGGUAGGAUUAUCAUUAAGAGAGCUUGGUUGCUAGCGAUUGGCUUCACAAAUUAUUGCAAUCAGGCUGUUGCUUAGUUGUCUUGCUCACUCCUGUAUUGUUGAUUUCGAAAUCUUGGCUAGUACAUCCAGAGAGGGAUCGCCAUGGCCUGAAGUUCAUCUUUCAUCUGUGUAGACCCUACAAAAACUAUGGCUGAGAAUAUAGCUCAAAACUCAUGAAAAAUUAACUACGGCUCUUCUUUUAGCCCACAAUUUGAUGCGUGGUUGACUAAACUUUCUCAUGCGACAUGGAUCACGUCGUUCCUUUUACGACAAGAACGGUGAGAAAGGCCAAAUUAAUGUUUCCUCGAGUUGAUGAUUCUUCAAAGAAAGAAGACACUUACGCUUUGAUUUUCCUUAGAAUUUUGUUCUUAUCAAAAAUAAAUAUGUGGCUUGCUUGAUAGAGAACGAGUUCAUUGGACAUGGUUAAGUUUGGAUGAGAACCCAUCUUAUAUUUACCUUCUAUCAAUGGAAAUCUCAUGAGUGUAACUUGUUGUUGUU